Molecule: ribosomal RNA, 432 nt
Filed under: uncultured bacterium
Lineage: Bacteria
Description: partial 16S ribosomal RNA
Rfam family: Bacterial small subunit ribosomal RNA
Source: RNAcentral
AACGAACGCUGGCGGCAUGCCUAACACAUGCAAGUCGAACCAGACCUUCGGGUCUAGUGGCGCACGGGUGCGUAACGCGUGGGAACCUGCCUUUAGGUUCGGAAUAACUCAGAGAAAUUUGAGCUAAUACCGGAUGAUGUCUUCGGACCAAAGAUUUAUCGCCUUUAGAUGGGCCCGCGUUGGAUUAGCUAGUUGGUGGGGUAAAGGCCUACCAAGGCGACGAUCCAUAGCUGGUCUGAGAGGAUGAUCAGCCACACUGGGACUGAGACACGGCCCAGACUCCUACGGGAGGCAGCAGUGGGGAAUAUUGGACAAUGGGCGAAAGCCUGAUCCAGCAAUGCCGCGUGAGUGAUGAAGGCCUUAGGGUUGUAAAGCUCUUUUACCCGAGAUGAUAAUGACAGUAUCGGGAGAAUAAGCUCCGGCUAACUCCGU